Molecule: ribosomal RNA, 267 nt
Filed under: uncultured prokaryote
Description: partial 16S ribosomal RNA
Rfam family: Bacterial small subunit ribosomal RNA
Source: RNAcentral
CACGUAGGAGGCGAACGUUAUCCGGAUUUAUUGGGCGUAAAGAGCUCGUAGGUGGUUUGUCACGUCGUCUGUGAAAUUCCGGGGCUUAACCUCGGGCGUGCAGGCGAUACGGGCAAUACUUGAGUGCUGUAGGGGAGACUGGAAUUCCUGGUGUGGCGGUGAAAUGCGCAGAUAUCAGGAGGAACACCAAUGGCGAAGGCAGGUCUCUGGGCAGUUACUGACGCUGAGGAGCGAAAGCAUGGGUAGCGAACAGGAUUAGAUACCCCU